Molecule: long non-coding RNA, 522 nt
Organism: Panthera uncia (snow leopard)
Lineage: Eukaryota; Metazoa; Chordata; Mammalia; Carnivora; Felidae
Exons: 3
Source: RefSeq, a predicted model, not a curated record
GGGGAACAGUGGCGCCGAGCCUGGGACCGCGCAGGAGCUGGGCGCAGCACACGGCAAGCGGGGACCCAGACAUUAGAUUUCACCUCUGGGGUCCGUCUAGUUGUUAAGCCAAAUGCCUCCGUUCAAGGUUUUAGCAGCGCACCUACAGAAACGCAGCUGGCCUUGCCUUGGUAACCUGAUGGGCAGAGUCAGAGUCCAGAAAUUUCUAGGCAGGGUUCGAUAAGGUGGAGCCCGUACAGAAACGCAAAUGGCUCUUCUUGAUCUAACUCUCUCAUAAAAACGCACGCCCGUGAGCGGUUAGGCAGUUCCUAGGGACAGCGGCUCUGCAGGGACUGCCAGUGCCUCCAACUGUCUGCACCUCUUUGUCUCCUCCAAGAAUUGAAACUGCAUUUUCUCAAGCAUGAAAAUAAAACAAAAAGUAAAAAAAAACUCUGAGCAGGUUUUUAUUACCCUUUUGUAAUAUUAUUAAUCCAUCCACCCACCCACCCGUCUGUCCGUCCGUCCCUCCAUCCCUCCACCCAU